RNAcentral lists this unclassified non-coding RNA (247 nucleotides) under Hevea brasiliensis (rubber tree). The record is from RNAcentral. Lineage: Eukaryota; Viridiplantae; Streptophyta; Magnoliopsida; Malpighiales; Euphorbiaceae.
GAAAAAUCUCGUUUGUAAGAUGCCGAUGAAGAGACAAUUGGUUUGCCGUGGCAGCUGUUUUCAUGUAUGGACAUUGAUGGUCAGAGGUAUUUGGUGGACGCGAAAGCCGUAGAGAUAUGCUCUGCAUAUGAGAUGUAAAAAGUUAGCAAUUCAUGUAAGUAGGCUGCUUAAUUUUUUCGUUAGUGGGAAAUCUGGGCUUGGAAAUUUUGGAGGAUUCAAUCUAGUCAAAUUCAUUUGUGUAGGCACA